RNAcentral lists this long non-coding RNA (1490 nucleotides) under Homo sapiens (human). RNAcentral's name for it is "non-protein coding lnc-SPSB2-2:2". Lineage: Eukaryota; Metazoa; Chordata; Mammalia; Primates; Hominidae. The record is from RNAcentral.
GCCACGAGCUGUUGUGCAUCCAGAGGUGGAAUUGGGGCCCGGCAUUCCCUCCUCGUCCCGGGCUGGCCCUUGCCCCCACCCUGCAACUCCUGGUUGAGAUGGGCUCAGCCAAGAGCGUCCCAGUCACACCAGCGCGGCCUCCGCCGCACAACAAGCAUCUGGCUCGAGUGGCGGACCCCCGUUCACCUAGUGCUGGCAUCCUGCGCACUCCCAUCCAGGUACUCUGGGCCAGCGUGGGAAAGGCAGAGAAUGUCUGAAUUCUUGGGUCUCUUCCUAACCUGAUUUUGAGAGAGCCGUCAUGACCCCACCCUUAUCCUAGCCUUAUUUUCUGCAAUCUCAAUCUGUGUGGGGUAGGCUGGAUAUCUGAGGGCCUUGGCAAUUCCUUCCUGGAAUAUGGGGAGGAGAGGAGAGAAGAGUCAGGGCCCAGACUUGUUCUAGCCUAUGGUCUUGACAGGUGGAGAGCUCUCCACAGCCAGGCCUACCAGCAGGGGAGCAACUGGAGGGUCUUAAACAUGCCCAGGACUCAGAUCCCCGCUCUCCUACUCUUGGUAUUGCACGGACACCUAUGAAGACCAGCAGUGGAGACCCCCCAAGCCCACUGGUGAAACAGCUGAGUGAAGUAUUUGAAACUGAAGACUCUAAAUCAAAUCUUCCCCCAGAGCCUGUUCUGCCCCCAGAGGCACCUUUAUCUUCUGAAUUGGACUUGCCUCUGGGUACCCAGUUAUCUGUUGAGGAACAGAUGCCACCUUGGAACCAGACUGAGUUCCCCUCCAAACAGGUGUUUUCCAAGGAGGAAGCAAGACAGCCCACAGAAACCCCUGUGGCCAGCCAGAGCUCCGACAAGCCCUCAAGGGACCCUGAGACUCCCAGAUCUUCAGGUACAGAAUCUAAGGCAAGAUGCAGGGAAGAUAAACUAGGAUAAUGUUUUGGGAUAAGGUCCAUGGGUGAGUGUGGGAGGAAUAAACUGUAAGUCCUAGUUUUGGGUCCUUGCUUUAACGCCUUACCCACCCCAGGUUCUAUGCGCAAUAGAUGGAAACCAAACAGCAGCAAGGUACUAGGGAGAUCCCCCCUCACCAUCCUGCAGGAUGACAACUCCCCUGGCACCCUGACACUACGACAGGGUAAGCGGCCUUCACCCCUAAGUGAAAAUGUUAGUGAACUAAAGGAAGGAGCCAUUCUUGGAACUGGACGACUUCUGAAAACUGGAGGACGAGCAUGGGAGCAAGGCCAGGACCAUGACAAGGAAAAUCAGCACUUUCCCUUGGUGGAGAGCUAGGCCCUGCAUGGCCCCAGCAAUGCAGUCACCCAGGGCCUGGUGAUAUCUGUGUCCUCUCACCCCUUCUUUCCCAGGGAUACUGAGGAAUGGCUUGUUUUCUUAGACUCCUCCUCAGCUACCAAACUGGGACUCACAGCUUUAUUGGGCUUUCUUUGUGUCUUGUGUGUUUCUUUUAUAUUAAAGGAAGUAAUUUUAAAUGUUACUUUAAAAAGGU